AUACGGAGGAUGCAAGCGUUAUCCGGAUUUAUUGGGUUUAAAGGGUGCGUAGGCGGUUUGCUAAGCGGGAGGUGAAAUGCCGGCGCUCAACGUCGGAAGUGCCUCCCGAACUGGUGGACUUGAAUGACUCUGCCGUGGGAGGAAUGUGUAGUGUAGCGGAGUAAUGCUUAGAGAUUACACAGAACACCGAUUGCGAAGGCAUCUCACGAAGGGUUGAUUGACGCUGAGGCACGAAAGCGUGGGGAUCAAACAGGAUUAGAUACCCUGGUAGUCCACGCAGUAAACGAUGAUGGCUAACCGCUGGAUCCAUCGGUUCAGUGGCCAAGCGAAAGCGAUAAGCCAUCCACCUGGGGAGUACGACCGCAAGGUUGAAACUCAAAUGAAUUGACGGGG
RNAcentral lists this ribosomal RNA (393 nucleotides) under uncultured bacterium. RNAcentral's name for it is "partial 16S ribosomal RNA". It matches the Rfam family "Bacterial small subunit ribosomal RNA", at positions 523 to 918 of the family's 1533-position model. The record is from RNAcentral.